Molecule: ribosomal RNA, 675 nt
Filed under: uncultured bacterium
Lineage: Bacteria
Description: bacterial SSU rRNA
Rfam family: Bacterial small subunit ribosomal RNA
Source: RNAcentral
ACAGGGGGAUAACACUGAGAAAUUGGUACUAAUACCCCAUAAUAUCAUAGAAGGCAUCUUUUAUGGUUGAAAAUUCCGAUGGUUAGAGAUGGGCAUGCGUUGUAUUAGCUAGUUGGUGGGGUAACGGCUCACCAAGGCGACGAUACAUAGGGGGACUGAGAGGUUAACCCCCCACACUGGUACUGAGACACGGACCAGACUCCUACGGGAGGCAGCAGUGAGGAAUAUUGGUCAAUGGACGCAAGUCUGAACCAGCCAUGCCGCGUGCAGGAUGACGGCUCUAUGAGUUGUAAACUGCUUUUGUACGAGGGUAAACGCAGAUACGUGUAUCUGUCUGAAAGUAUCGUACGAAUAAGGAUCGGCUAGCUCCGUGCCAGCAGCCGCGGUAAUACGGAGGAUUCAAGCGUUAUCCGGAUUUAUUGGGUUUAAAGGGUGCGUAGGCGGUUUGAUAAGUUAGAGGUGAAAUUUCGGGGCUCAACCCUGAACGUGCCUCUAAUACUGUUGAGCUAGAGAGUAGUUGCGGUAGGCGGAAUGUAUGGUGUAGCGGUGAAAUGCUUAGAGAUCAUACAGAACACCGAUUGCGAAGGCAGCUUACCAAACUAUAUCUGACGUUGAGGCACGAAAGCGUGGGGAGCAAACAGGAUUAGAUACCCUGGUAGUCCACGCAGUAAACGA